This 468-nucleotide ribosomal RNA is filed under the name uncultured bacterium. RNAcentral describes it as "partial 16S ribosomal RNA". It matches the Rfam family "Bacterial small subunit ribosomal RNA", at positions 28 to 507 of the family's 1533-position model. The record is from RNAcentral.
GACGAACGCUGGCGGCGUGCUUAACACAUGCAAGUCGAACGGAAAGGCCCUGCUUUUGUGGGGUGCUCGAGUGGCGAACGGGUGAGUAACACGUGAGUAACCUGCCCUUGACUUUGGGAUAACUUCAGGAAACUGGGGCUAAUACCGGAUAGGAGCUCCUGCUGCAUGGUGGGGGUUGGAAAGUUUCGGCGGUUGGGGAUGGACUCGCGGCUUAUCAGCUUGUUGGUGGGGUAGUGGCUUACCAAGGCUUUGACGGGUAGCCGGCCUGAGAGGGUGACCGGCAACAUUGGGACUGAGAUACGGCCCAGACUCCUACGGGAGGUAGCAGUGGGGAAUAUUGCACAAUGGGCGGAAGCCUGAUGCAGCAACGCCGCGUGCGGGAUGACGGCCUUCGGGUUGUAAACCGCUUUCGCCUGUGACGAAGCGUGAGUGACGGUAAUGGGUAAAGAAGCACCGGCUAACUACGUG